Molecule: ribosomal RNA, 309 nt
Filed under: uncultured bacterium
Lineage: Bacteria
Description: bacterial SSU rRNA
Rfam family: Bacterial small subunit ribosomal RNA
Source: RNAcentral
GACGAACGCUGGCGGCGUGCCUAACACAUGCAAGUCGAACGGGGUUAUUUCCUUCGGGAGAUAACUUAGUGGCGAACGGGUGAGUAACGCGUGAGGAACCUGCCUUUCAGUGGGGGACAACAGUUGGAAACGACUGCUGAUACCGCAUAACGUAUCGGGGGGGCAUCCCCUUGAUACCAAAGCUUUAUGUGCUGAAAGAUGGCCUCGCGUCUGAUUAGAUAGUUGGUGGGGUAACGGCCCACCAAGUCAACGAUCAGUAGCCGGUCUGAGAGGAUGGAACGGCCACAUUGGGACUGAGAUACGGCCCAG